This is a non-coding RNA of Microcebus murinus (gray mouse lemur), 1897 nucleotides long. The record is from RefSeq and is a predicted model, not a curated record. Lineage: Eukaryota; Metazoa; Chordata; Mammalia; Primates; Cheirogaleidae.
AGGACCCGCCGGGGCUGGCAGUGGGAAGGGCAGGGGCGGUGGCGGCUCUCAGACAGGUGCGCGGCCGCCCACGUGGCCCUGCUGGUGAGGCAGAGAGGGAGGCCGGGAAAGGGAAACUGAAAUGCUUGUCCUCAGACCUGCGAAUGCUACUUUCCUCUCAAGCGUGUCUCUACCUCGGACUUUGAGAGAAAAGACAAAGCAAAGCAGAAGACGGAAAGAAGAUGAAAAGAGGGUCAAGAGGAGAAACCGGGGAGGAUGCGCAGAGCCGGUUUGGUCCCAUGAGCAGGACUCCCUUUGCUCCCCUGGUCUCAGGCCGGGGCGAGGGGCAGCCUGGAAUGACCCUCCACGCUUUCUUGACCCCGACAGCUAUCCCAGAGCCAGGUGUUUCUGUCGUCAGAUGAACCUGUGCGCAGAGAGUGGCGUAGGUCAACCCAGAGCCAGCGGCACUGUUCCUGUUUGCUAUGUUACAAGUUACCCCAGCACUUUAGUUGCUUAGAACAGACACCAUCUCGUUGUGUCUCAUGCUUUUGUGGGUCAGGGAUUUGGGCAGGGCCCACUUGGGUGACUCUUCUGUGCCAUGUGGCGUUGCAUGUGGUUACGUGGUGGCAGAAGGGGACUGCUCUGAGGAUCCUAAACAGAUUUGGUCCCCAACAAUAUCCAGGUCCUGACCCCCCAAAACCUGUGAAUGUCACCUAACAUGGCAAAAGGGGCUUUGCAGAUGUGAUUAAUUUAAAGAUCUCGAGAAGGGGAGAUUACCCUGGAUUAUCUGAAUGGGCCCUAAAUGUAAUCAGAAGUAUCUUUACAAGAGGGAGGGAGAGGGAGAUUGGACCACAGAGCAGGAAAAGGGCUACGUGAGGACUGAUGCUCGAUGUUCCCUUGCUGGCUUCGGAGGUGACAGAAGAGGGUGUGAACGGAGGAAGGCAUGGAACGCAGCUGUGGUUGCUUGGAGAAGGCAAAGAAACAGAUUCCCUUCCAGAAUUCCUAAAGGAAGACAGGCCCUGCCAACACCUUGGUUUGGGAACCAAGUGAAACUGAUUUUGGACUACUGACCUCCAGGACUAUAAAGAAAUAAUGUGUGCUGCUUUAAGUCGCCAAGUUUGUGGCCAUCUGUAUGGCAGCCUUAAAAUUCUAACACAGUGGAGGGGAUUGGAAGACUGGACUGAACCAAGACCAUUGAACAGAGUGGCCGCUGUGGCCCCUCUAGCCCAGAGCUGGUCUCAGCACUUCUUCCACGCCAGCUCAGGACUCCCAGACAGAGGGCUCCAAGAGAAGAGGAGGAAGCUCCCAAGUUCUUAAGGCUUUUCCCAUCACAGAGCCUGCUCAGAUUUAAAGGAUGGAGGCAUAGACCUCACCUUUUCAUGAGAAGUCUUGUGUCAAAGAUUUGUGUGGCUGUCUCUUUACUGCAGGAAAGAAUACUUUCAACACUCGUGCCCCACUGACCAUGAAUCAGCAACAUCACGUUUGUACGCUUAUUCCAUCUGCUGACUUUCAAAAUCCUGGUUCUGUGGAAAGAAAAUAACCUUGAUGUGAGAGGCUUCUCCCACUUUCUCCUGCACUAGAGCACGGUUUGGUGGUAAAGAGAGAUCGUUGAAAGCUGAGGAAGACGGUGGCACUGUCACAGGAAGGAAAAUCGCGACAGAGGACUCACCCAUCUGGCCUGAUCAGAGCAUCCUGCGUGACUAUGAAGAGGUAGUAUCGGCAGAAUCUUGGACUCCUAGGUUCUUUCAGCUGCAUUUUGUUGCUUCUACCACAGCGACACAGUAGGUCCCAGCUGAAUUUGUGUCACAGCUGGUGGGCAGCUUGUCUAAACAGUCCAGACUGAAUUUCCUUGCUUCCAAAUACUACGGAAGACCCUGAGUGCAGAGUGAGUGUGAAAAAUAAACUCCCAGACCAUUUA